RNAcentral lists this ribosomal RNA (519 nucleotides) under Wickerhamiella pararugosa. RNAcentral's name for it is "partial large subunit ribosomal RNA". It matches the Rfam family "Eukaryotic large subunit ribosomal RNA", at positions 107 to 669 of the family's 3401-position model. Lineage: Eukaryota; Fungi; Ascomycota; Dipodascomycetes; Dipodascales; Trichomonascaceae. The record is from RNAcentral.
GCUCAAAUUUGAAAUCUGCCAACAGGCCGAGUUGUAAUUUGUAGAUGGCUACACUGCAUAAUAGUAGAUGCUCAAGUUCUUUGGAAAAAGACAUCAUGGAGGGUGACAAUCCCGUGAGGCAUGUUACUAGGAGCAUAUAGUGGGCUUUCUAAGAGUCGAGUUGUUUGGGAAUGCAGCUCAAAGUGCGUGGUGAAUACCAUGUAAAGCUAAAUAUGGACGAGAGACCGAUAGCGAACAAGUACUGUGAAGGAAAGAUGAAAAGCACUCCGAAAGGAGAGUGAAAUAGUACGUGAAAUUGUUAAAGUGGAAGGGCUUGAGAUCAGAAUUGGUAGUUUGGGUUCCACGUCCUCUUGGGGGCGUGUACUCCCUUUCCACCGGGCCAGCGGGAGUUUCGUCUCUUGGGUAAAAGCAGUGGAAUGUAGCAGCUUGUCUGUAUUAUAGCCUCUGUUCAUACAAGACGUCGAGACUUGAUUUGUUGGCGUAAUGAUCUCUAGCCACCCGUCUUGAAACACGGACCAA